Molecule: non-coding RNA, 87 nt
Submitted as: unclassified sequences
Source: Rfam
CUGGUUCCGGUUCACGUUCCCACCCGGCAAGGGUGUGACACACACAUCCUGCUGCAGUGCGCCGCACAGGGGGACGACCCGGCGACC